ACCAGACCCAAAUAUCAAGGGGGUCUCGGUUUCAAGGUUAUUGAGUUAGUUGACUUGGCAAUCCUUGCGCGCCAAGCUUGGCGAAUUUUGCAGGAACCAGGGACCUUGAGUGCAUGCAUUCUGAAAGCUAGAUAUUUCCCUGACACUGAUAUUCUGCAGGCUGUUGUGGGAAACCGUCCAUCCCAGAUAUGGAGGGCUAUCAUUGUGGGCAUAGACAUUUUAGUUCAGGGUUUGAUCCGAAGGAUUGGUGAUGGAAAAAGCCCCAAGAUCUGGCGCCAUAACUGGCUAUCCAGAAAUCAGUCAAUGAGGCCAGUGGCAUGUAUUUCCGCAAACCCACCAAAUUUAGUCUCGGAAUUGUUAUUCUCCAACUCUGCAACAUGGAACAAGGACUUGAUUGAGAGCACUUUUAUUCAUUUUGAUGCUGAAGCUAUUCUACCCAUACCACCCUGGACUAAACAACUUGAUGACUUUUGGUCUUGGAAUCAUGAGAAGAAUGGAAUUUUCAGUGUAAGAUCAUCCUACAGGAUGCUAGUUGAUACUCGGCGAGAGGCGUGGUUGGAAGGACGCUCUGGGCCCUCCAAUAUAGAAGCGGGAGAGAAAUCUUGA
RNAcentral lists this ribosomal RNA (606 nucleotides) under Triticum aestivum (bread wheat). RNAcentral's name for it is "partial small subunit ribosomal RNA". The record is from RNAcentral. Lineage: Eukaryota; Viridiplantae; Streptophyta; Magnoliopsida; Poales; Poaceae.